RNAcentral lists this long non-coding RNA (1242 nucleotides) under Sparus aurata (gilthead seabream). RNAcentral's name for it is "lncRNA (ENSSAUG00010014773.1)". The record is from RNAcentral. Lineage: Eukaryota; Metazoa; Chordata; Actinopteri; Spariformes; Sparidae.
GUUGGCGUUUCACCGCUUGCACAGGAGUUAUGGACGAGCACCAGCUAACAUACGGCCGAUGAAAAAACUGUUCUCAGGUCAGGUGUGGCCUCUGAUGUUCCAAAAUUCACGAGCAGCCUUCGACAUCAGUUAAAAUGUGUCUUCAGUGUGAGGUAGCAGCUCUGGGACGGCUCAGCCACCAAAUAGGUCUUCUGGGAUGGGAUUGCUGUUCCAGUGGAGAGAUAGCAGCCCAUGCGGACCAUAUUUCCUCACUGCCCGGGCCGGAUGCCUGGCAGAAAAUUGAAGCCAGUCGGGUGUGUCAGCGUCGCGGCCACAAGACUCCGGCGCCUUCUACCAGGUUUAAAGAUGACACGAGGGAAAGGGAUGAGUGUGGUGUUUACUGUCUUUUCAGUAUGUCAUUUGCAGUAAAUCUAAUCUGCAAAUAAAAGAACAAUGCUUGAUGUUCUGAUGACUAAAACCUCUUUAUUUGUUUAAAUAAACAGUAUUACAGGUAGGACCGCCUCUUUAACGAGUUCUCUGCCCUGAUUGGAUGAAGUGAGCGGGGAUACCAGGAAGUGCCUUUUCUCUUCUACAGGAGGAGGAGAGGCGUGGUUUACCGACCAAACACACACGCUUUUAAAAUCUUAUUUUGAUAAGCUUACAUCGCUUCACAGCAGUUUCCAUUCUUGUAAUGUACAAAAGAAAAAAAUGUAAUUCGUCACUUUGGAAAAGUUUAAACCUUUGAGCUUUUCAGGGUAUUUAUGUUUGGCAUUAAUGGACUUGUUGUUAAGAAAUAACAAUGUGGAACAAUAACACGCCAUCAUCAAACAUAAACCUCAGCUCAAUCAUAAAACCAGUUAUGUCACAUUUAUUCACCCAUAAUAAAGUUAAUAGCGACGCAAAACCCGUCCAUCGACGAGGGAAUGUGGUGAUUAAUGAGGGAGUGAGCAUCUCUACUGAUGUCAGGCACGUGAGUUAAACGGUCACUUCAUCAGAACUCACUCAGAACAGGUGUUUCUGUCUCCCAUUACCCUGGUUCAAUAAAAACCCUAUUAUAAUUUGUUGAGUUUGCUUUGUGCUCUGCGUGUUCUUUCUGCUAAUCAUGUGAAAAGCCUUUUAAAACGUCGCUCUUCAGAGUGAAACUGUCACCAAACAUUAAUCAUAAUUGUCCCCCGGUGACACCUCCGUCUUGAUUUUGAGCCAAAAAAGAAAUUGAACUCCAUUAAAUGUUCAUGAAGGGUUCUCUCUCUGCUGACUUUACAG